GAAGAACCUUACCAGGGCUUGACAUCCCUUGACGACGUAAGAGAUUACGUUUCCCUUCGGGGCAAGGAGACAGGUGGUGCAUGGUUGUCGUCAGCUCGUGUCGUGAGAUGUUGGGUUAAGUCCCGCAACGAGCGCAACCCUUGUCAUUAGUUGCUACAUUUAGUUGGGCACUCUAAUGAGACUGCCGGUGACAAACCGGAGGAAGGUGGGGAUGACGUCAAGUCCUCAUGGCCCUUAUAGGUAGGGCUACACACGUCAUACAAUGGCUGGUACAGAGGGUUGCCAACCCGCGAGGGGGAGCUAAUCCCAUAAAACCAGUCGUAGUCCGGAUCGGAGUCUGCAACUCGACUCCGUGAAGUCGGAAUCGCUAGUAAUCGCAGAUCAGCAUUGCUGCGGUGAAUACGUUCCCGGGUCUUGUACACACGC
RNAcentral lists this ribosomal RNA (426 nucleotides) under uncultured soil bacterium. Its description in RNAcentral is "bacterial SSU rRNA". It matches the Rfam family "Bacterial small subunit ribosomal RNA", at positions 963 to 1393 of the family's 1533-position model. The record is from RNAcentral.